This 349-nucleotide unclassified non-coding RNA is filed under the name soil metagenome. RNAcentral describes it as "partial contains 5.8S ribosomal RNA, internal transcribed spacer 2, and large subunit ribosomal RNA". The stretch from base 2 to 119 matches the Rfam family "5.8S ribosomal RNA", at positions 37 to 154 of the family's 154-position model. The record is from RNAcentral.
GUGAAGAACGCAGCGAACUGCGAUAAGUAAUGUGAAUUGCAGAAUUCAGUGAAUCAUCGAGUCUUUGAACGCACAUUGCGCCCCCUGGCAUUCCGGGGGGCAUGCCUGUCCGAGCGUCAUUGCUGCCAUUCAAGCCCGGCUUGUGUGUUGGGUCGUCGUCCCCCCCGGGGGACGGGCCCGAAAGGCAGCGGCGACACCGCGUCCGGUCCUCGAGCGUAUGGGGCUUUGUCACCCGCUCGAUUAGGGCCGGCCGGGCGCCAGCCGGCGUCUCCAACCUUCUAUUUUACCAGGUUGACCUCGGAUCAGGUAGGGAUACCCGCUGAACUUAAGCAUAUCAAUAAGCGGAGGA